GGUCAGAUGGUCGAGUGGUCUAAGACGACACGUUAAGGUAAAACUAAUAUUAAUACCGUGUUCCGCAAGGGCGUGGGUUCAAAUCCCACUCUGAUCA
Transfer RNA from Naegleria gruberi, 97 nucleotides. It matches the Rfam family "tRNA". From Rfam's summary of the family: Transfer RNA (tRNA) molecules are approximately 80 nucleotides in length. Lineage: Eukaryota; Heterolobosea; Eutetramitea; Acrasida; Naegleriidae. The record is from Rfam.